This 459-nucleotide long non-coding RNA is filed under the name Elaeis guineensis (African oil palm). RNAcentral describes it as "long non-coding RNA (EGUI_LNC029241)". Lineage: Eukaryota; Viridiplantae; Streptophyta; Magnoliopsida; Arecales; Arecaceae. The record is from RNAcentral.
UAAGUUUAUUAAUAUUCUCUUGGUUUCGUUAAGCCAUUCUGUUUGGCAAUUUAGAAAAUAGUUGAUGAUCUUUAUCGCAUGAUCAAGACUUAAAUAAAUUCUCUUUUUCUUCGGAUAUAUGAAGGAAAUGGAAUGUUGUAUAAUAUUCAGAGCCAUAAGCUACUCACGGAAGCAUUUAGAAAAUAAAAACUAGUCAAAUAGGUUGUUUUUGAAUCAAAGGCUUAAUAAUGUGACAAUCUUCUAGUCUUCAUUCCCAAAUAGCUAGGGAUCAUCAAUCGCAUUCUUAGAUUUCAGCUUCACAAUUCUAAUUAACCUUCAGAAUAUAUAUGGCACAUUUCUUUUUCAUAUAUGUAUUUUUUAUAUUUUUUUCUAAUUGAGUGCUAGAUUUGAAUCUGGUUGAACCACCCAUAAUAGGCUAGCUUGAUCAAGAUUAUCUAAAAUUUAAAUAUUAGAGAAAAU